UUUUAAAAGGCAGAACUCUGUAGGUAAAGAAAAUUGAGUGGUCUAAAUGCUUCACUACUCCAUACAUGGGUAUAGUGGAAACAUUUCACUGCCUGCUAGCCCACUGCCACCACCGCUGGCUUCUCAGUUUUAGUCUUCGAGGCUCACCUGAACUUGGCACGCUCUGUGUUAGAUUACUCAACCUGUCUGCCCCACAGAAACUCACCUCCCUAACUGCUGCGUGCUGCUUUCUCUUUUUGAGAGUUGGACUACACCCAAAGCUACUGUCAAAUGUCAUGGGGAUGAGACUUCACAAGGAGAUAUUGGAGACUUUAAUCAAGAGGAUUCUUGAAACAUGACCACCUGACAGUUGGAAGACAGUUUUCCACCCCAUAAAGGGUGAUAUCUAAAAUCUUCACCAGCCAUGCUUGUACAAGAAACGACCCAUCUGAACGGAUAUUCCACUGAUCAUAAGGAACACCAUACUGGUACAUUAUCAGCUAAAUACAUUAAGAGCGAGAAGAGUACUUGCCAGUUUGAUCAGGAGUGGGAAAGGAGAAGGAGGAGGAGUAGAAGGACAAGGGCAGCAUUUUGCAAUUUUUCGAAAUAUGUGUGCAGCUCAUCUCUCUAGAAACAAAAGUACUAAUAAUGCAUAUCUCAAGGAACCUAUGAGCAUUUAUGGAGAUAAUGUCGUAAGUACUUUGAAUUUUUUCUUUAUAAUUUCUAAAAUAGAAAUAGCUUGUUUUAUUUGAUGAUAAAGAAUACCUGCCAUUGUAAUUUUGAUGCAUAAUU
Molecule: long non-coding RNA, 771 nt
Organism: Phacochoerus africanus (Common warthog)
Lineage: Eukaryota; Metazoa; Chordata; Mammalia; Artiodactyla; Suidae
Exons: 4
Source: RefSeq, a predicted model, not a curated record